This 669-nucleotide ribosomal RNA is filed under the name Stygobromus indentatus. Its description in RNAcentral is "12S ribosomal RNA". The record is from RNAcentral. Lineage: Eukaryota; Metazoa; Arthropoda; Malacostraca; Amphipoda; Crangonyctidae.
AUAAAUCUUAACUUUUUAAAUUUAGAUAUAAUAAUUUACAUAUAAGAAUUUCUUUCUAUUUAAUUAAAUUGAGUUUAUGUAUUUUUUUAGAGUUUAUAGAAUUGUGAUUAUAUUAUAUAAUAUUUCAGUAAUUAUAUAUAGACCAGUAAAUUUUGUGCCAGCAGCUGCGGUUAGACUAGUGGUCUUUUUUUAAAGAUAUUUAUAUUAAUAAAAAUAUUAGAUAUUUUAGUUUUAGGUGAAAUUUUAAUUAUUAUUUACUUGAUUUAUGAUUUUUAAGUAAUUAAUAUUAAACUAGGAUUAGAUACCCUACUAUAUAAUUGAGUUUUGAGAAGUAAAUAUAAAAUUAAAGGAUAUGGCGGCUUUUUUAUAUUAGAGGAGAUUGUAAAUAUAAAACGACAUGACUCGCUUGGUGCUUAUUUUGUUUAUGUAUACCGUCAUUUUAAUAAUAUUAAGGGAUAUUUUUAAAAUUUGAUUAAAAAUGUUAGAUCAAGGUGCAGAUAUAUGUAAGAAAUUAUUAUCUACAUUAUAGAUCUAUAGACGAAUAUUUAUUUGAAGGUGAAUUUAAUUGUAAUUAUUUGUAUAUGACUAGAUUAAAAUAGUGCACAAAUUGCCCGUCAUUCUCUUUGAGAUAAGUCGAAACAAAGUAGAACUACCUGAAGGUGGUUCUGA